GGCUCGUUGGUGUAAUGGUAACAUUUCCGGCGUGGUACGCAGGAAGACAACGGUUCGAGUCCGUUACAGGCGA
Molecule: transfer RNA, 73 nt
Filed under: Neurospora africana FGSC 1740
Lineage: Eukaryota; Fungi; Ascomycota; Sordariomycetes; Sordariales; Sordariaceae
Description: tRNA-Thr (GGT) (tRNA-Thr-GGT-2-1)
Rfam family: tRNA
About the family: Transfer RNA (tRNA) molecules are approximately 80 nucleotides in length. Their secondary structure includes four short double-helical elements and three loops (D, anti-codon, and T loops).
Source: RNAcentral